Molecule: ribosomal RNA, 907 nt
Filed under: uncultured Gammaproteobacteria bacterium
Lineage: Bacteria; Pseudomonadati; Pseudomonadota; Gammaproteobacteria
Description: bacterial SSU rRNA
Rfam family: Bacterial small subunit ribosomal RNA
Source: RNAcentral
GGCCUAAGACAUGCAGUCGAACGGUAACGACACUAGCUUGCUAGUGGUCGACGAGUGGCGGACGGGUGAGUAACGCGUAGGAAUCUACCUAGUAGUGGGGGAUAGCCAAGGGAAACUUUGGGUAAUACCGCAUACGAUCUAAGGAUGAAAGGGGGCCUCUCUUUGAAGCUCUCGCUAUUAGAUGAGCCUGCGUAAGAUUAGCUUGUUGGUGGGGUAAUGGCCCACCAAGGCGACGAUCUUUAGCUGGUCUGAGAGGAUGAUCAGUCACACUGGAACUGAGACACGGUCCAGACUCCUACGGGAGGCAGCAGUCGGGAAUAUUGGACAAUGGGGGAAACCCUGAUCCAGCCAUGCCGCGUGUGUGAAGAAGGCCCUAGGGUUGUAAAGCACUUUUAGUAGUGAGGAAGGCUCAGUAGUUAAUACCUACUGGGAUUGACGUUAGCUACAGAAAAAGCACCGGCUAAUUUCGUGCCAGCAGCCGCGGUAAUACGAAAGGUGCAAGCGUUAAUCGGAAUUACUGGGCGUAAAGCGCGCGUAGGCGGCUUGGUAAGUUGGUUGUGAAAGCCCCGGGCUCAACCUGGGAACUGCAUCCAAAACUGCCUAGCUAGAGUAUGGUAGAGGAUGGCGGAAUUUCCUGUGUAGCGGUGAAAUGCGUAGAUAUAGGAAGGAACAUCAGUGGCGAAGGCGGCCAUCUGGACCAAUACUGACGCUGAGGUGCGAAAGCGUGGGGAGCAAACAGGAUUAGAUACCCUGGUAGUCCACGCCGUAAACGAUGAGAACUAGCCGUUGGACAUCUUGCACGUUUAGUGGCGCAGCUAACGCGAUAAGUUCUCCGCCUGGGGAGUACGGCCGCAAGGUUAAAACUCAAAUGAAUUGACGGGGGCCCGCACAAGCGGUGGAGCAUGUG